RNAcentral lists this long non-coding RNA (1196 nucleotides) under Monodelphis domestica (gray short-tailed opossum). RNAcentral's name for it is "lncRNA (ENSMODG00000036144.2)". The record is from RNAcentral. Lineage: Eukaryota; Metazoa; Chordata; Mammalia; Didelphimorphia; Didelphidae.
GUGAUCAUGAAGGUAUAAAAUAAAGUCAUGCCUCAACCAAGGUGCAGCAAUUUAUCCUGUGAAACCUGUGCUGCAGGUUUUAUGUGUAAACUAUGUCCUAUGCAUCAUUUAGCUGACACCAUCCCACCUCCAAGACCCCAUCCCCUGUUGGAGGCUGGCCCACCCCACAGCAACUGGCGCUGGGGACCAGGGACUCUUGACUAGGGACAGAUGCAGCAGUAGAUGGAAGGCUUAAGGUCAAAAAGAAGGUUGCCUCUCUUUGCACUGGAGUCUUUCCACAUCCCUGGUUGGAGAUCAGGAGGCACCUGGUGAAGAUAAAAGUCCAGCAGUCACACUUAGGGGAUACAUACAGUGGGAAAUGGAAAAAGGGAAGAAAAAUCCAUCUCUCUCCUUCCUACCUCCUCCCCAAUCUGUACCUUGAGUCCAUUCCUUUUCUGUCAGGAAGUGGGCAGCAGGCUAAAUCCCCAGUCUUCUGGAAUCAUGGCUCUGUAGGUGAUGCUCUUUGCAUAAGAAGCAUGAAACACCACCAUCUCAGAAGAAUCAUAAAUGCAAGUGAUCCAAAGGCUGAAGGAGAGAUGCAUGGUGCAGCAGAUGGCAGCAUUUUGAUGAUCCUCUACUUAGAAAGCUCCCAGAAUGCUGGAUUUGGUGUUGGAGGACCUGGAUUAAAAUACAGGUUCAAUGGUGUGAUGUCAGGCAAGUCAUUUACUUUCUUUAGACCUCAAUUUCCUAAUUCCUAAUCCUGUUUGAUGAAAGAGAUUUGAAGAAGAAGUUUGGACUCAAAUUUUUUUGGCUCUGUCAAAUUCUAAAUUGAGGUUUACAUUAUAUUCAAUGGCAAAAAAUGAUGACAUGAAGAAAAUGUCCUAUGUAUAGCUGGAAAAGGAGAUAGGUUGGUUGUGACUGAGAGAGACGGGCAUAGAACAGAUACAUAAACUGAAUGCUGCAAUGAUGUUCAUAGAAUAGAAUCAGAGGAAGGUCUCCAUUGUUUUGGUCUGAUGCUCAAUGGAAGGUACUUGGAAGAACUUGGACAAUAAUUGAGUAGGAUGAGAAAAUAUGGAGGAUUAUGAUCUUGUUAGCAGAGGUACCACCCACACUGAUGAGGGUAUUGGAGUAAGCAUUAUUUCUCUUUAAUUUCUCCUGCCACCCAUUUUGUUCAGGAACUCAUUGUCUCUCAUCAGAAUAAACUCCAAAUUGGUCAU